Molecule: ribosomal RNA, 356 nt
Filed under: uncultured bacterium
Lineage: Bacteria
Description: bacterial SSU rRNA
Rfam family: Bacterial small subunit ribosomal RNA
Source: RNAcentral
AGAGUUUGAUCCUGGCUCAGGAUGAACGCUAGCUACAGGCUUAACACAUGCAAGUCGAGGGGAAACGAUAUUGGAAGCUUGCUUCCGAUAGGCGUCGACCGGCGCACGGGUGAGUAACGCGUAUCCAACCUGCCCGCCACUUGGGGGAUAACCUUGCGAAAGUAAGACUAAUACCCAAUGAUAUCUCUAGAAGACAUCUGAAAGAGAUUAAAGAUUUAUCGGUGAUGGAUGGGGAUGCGUCUGAUUAGCUUGUUGGCGGGGUAACGGCCCACCAAGGCAACGAUCAGUAGGGGUUCUGAGAGGAAGGUCCCCCACAUUGGAACUGAGACACGGUCCAAACUCCUACGGGAGGAGCA